UGCAGUCGAGCGAGAAGGGGGGGCAACCCCCCGAGUAGAGCGGCGCACGGGUGAGUAACGCGUGGGUAACCUGCCCCCCGGCGGGGGAUAACUACUCGAAAGGGUAGCUAAUACCGCAUGAGACCACGGGAUCCUCGGAUCCUGAGGCCAAAGGCUGCAUCGGCUUGCCGGUGUAGUCACCAGGGGAUGGGCCCGCGUCCGAUUAGCUGGUUGGUGGGGUAACGGCCCACCAAGGCUCCGAUCGGUAGCUGGUCUGAGAGGAUGAUCAGCCACACUGGAACUGGAACACGGUCCAGACUCCUACGGGAGGCAGCAGUGAGGAAUAUUGCGCAAUGGGGGAAACCCUGACGCAGCAACGCCGCGUGGGUGAAGAAGGCCUUCGGGUCGUAAAGCCCUUUCGGACGGGACGAACGCUCCGCGGGGACAAGCCGCGGAGUCUGACGGUACCGUAGGAAGAAGCACCGGCUAACUCCGUGCCAGCAGCCGCGGUAAUACGGAGGGUGCGAGCGUUGUUCGGAAUUACUGGGCGUAAAGCGCGUGUAGGCGGCCUUGCAAGCCGGACGUGAAAGCCCUCGGCUUAACCGGGGAAGUGCGUCCGGAACUGCUCGGCUCGAGUACGGGAGAGGGAGGCGGAAUUCCCAGUGUAGAGGUGAAAUUCGUAGAUAUUGGGAGGAACACCGGUGGCGAAAGCGGCCUCCUGGACCGAUACUGACGCUGAGACGCGAAAGCGUGGGGAGCAAACAGGAUUAGAUACCCUGAUAGUCCACGCGGUAAACGAUGGGCACUAGUGUGGGGGGUAUCCACUCCUCCCGUGCCGAAGCUAACGCAUUUAGUGCCC
Molecule: ribosomal RNA, 838 nt
Filed under: uncultured bacterium
Lineage: Bacteria
Description: bacterial SSU rRNA
Rfam family: Bacterial small subunit ribosomal RNA
Source: RNAcentral